This 253-nucleotide ribosomal RNA is filed under the name uncultured bacterium. Its description in RNAcentral is "partial 16S ribosomal RNA". It matches the Rfam family "Bacterial small subunit ribosomal RNA", at positions 524 to 776 of the family's 1533-position model. The record is from RNAcentral.
UACAGAGGGGGCAAGCGUUGUUCGGAAUUACUGGGCGUAAAGGGCGCGUAGGCGGCCUGUUAAGUCGAACGUGAAAUCCCCGGGCUCAACCCGGGAACUGCGUCCGAUACUGGCAGGCUUGAAUCCGGGAGAGGGAUGUGGAAUUCCCGGUGUAGAGGUGAAAUUCGUAGAUAUCGGGAGGAACACCGGUGGCGAAGGCGGCGACCUGGGUAGAUACUGACGCUGAGGUGCGAAAGCGUGGGGAGCAAACAGG